UUAAGGAGGUCUUCGCAGAUGAUGCAGCUCAGCGACUCUGGACUUUCCCCAGCAGCUUGCGUACUACCCCUCACUCCUCCUCCUUCUUUCUCCCUUUGCCAUAUCCACCCACCCAUCCACCCACCAGCCCACCCUUUCCCUGCCUUUCUUACACACACAUACACACAUACAUUCAAUCACGAAUGCACAGGGAUUGCAGCAACAGCAGCAGCACCGCGAGAUGGAGAUCUCCGCUGCGUGUGUGAGUGCCUGUUCCCGGUGAGUGCAGGGACAAGAACGAAUGAGUGUCAGUGAUGCUUGAAUGAGGUGUAAGAGGGAGAGAGAGCAGAGUUAAAGGCAGGAGAGGGAUAUCAGUGAGGACCCGAUGAGGUUUUGAGGCAAUGUCUUUCUGCUUUUUUCCCUCUCCCAUCCCGAUAACCUGAAUCUUUGCCGGAUGUGCCACAACUACUCCAGCUGUCACUGCACCGGCUGCCUCUCUCUCUGUACUCCCGCAGCCUGUGAGAGCUGCUCCAGUGGCUGGACGGUACCCCGGCACCCACUGAAUACAUGGAUGAACACUGGCUCUACAGGGGAUCUGUGCUUUCUUGUCCUUUGCACCUCUGAUCUGUUUCUCAAGGAAAUAUGGUGAGCAAAGAAGACACCAAAUGCAUUGUCUCAAAUUCAGAUGAAUCGGAUUCAGAGACAGGGCAAUCACACAGCCUUGAUGCGCAGUCUGGACCAGAAUCAGGCAAGCAGCAGGUGAAGAAGAGAAACAAAGCCUUACAAGUGCGUUUUAAGGACAUCUGUGAUGCUCAAAAUGAGCAUCGGGGAAAGCGCUCCAGAUCCAUUUCCUGUAAAGUGACUCACAGAAAGUACAUGACCAUGCCUGCCAGACGUUCUAUUCCAAAUGUGACCAAGAGUACUGGUGUCCAGACGUCGCCAGACCUCACUAAGCGAUACAAGACUUUCCCUUUUGAGAGGAAAAAAGGACAUACAUUUAAACACACUGCUUUGGUGGAAGAUUACAGAGGACAAAACAAUGGUUUUUUGAGUGAUAUAAAGGCAGGAGGAGAGGAUGGACAAACUAGCGGGGAGUCCUCUAAGUACAAGGGUAAGAUUGUGGGGCAGACAAAAGCAUUGCUUCACCACACAGAUGACAGCAGUGAUACAGAGGAUUUGCUUUCCAGUGCCAACUGUGUGGAUGGACCCUCCUGUCCAGACUCUUCACAUUUCUCGGAAGAGUGCCAUCCGCACAGCUCUCCUUCCAAAAGAGAAACAGAGUACCAGGUUUGUGGGACAAGAACCAAACACAAAGGAUUACCCAAAGAAGACAUGGACGCUGGCACUUCCUCAAAGCGCCAGCUGGCUAACACAGAGUUUUUACAGGACAAGUCAAAGGGCAUGGGCCCUGUUGCGUGGAACUCUUUGACACAGGUGGAGUCUUUAGGAAGCCCGUCUGUGAGCUGUAAACGGAAAAAGGGUACACAGCUAAACGAACAGCAGUCACAGACACUUCCCCAUAGUGCCAAAUGUUCUGUACAGUCACAAGGGCAGUGUCGGACAAGGCAUGUGUCAGCCUCCUCUAAACUCCAGCAAACAGUUGGGGGGGACGAGGGCUUUCCUCCAGGAGACAAAAGAGCCCCAGGCAUGGGGAGCAGCCAGCAGAUAAUGCCCUUAUCUGGAGACAAGGAUAUCAAAGCACAGCUGCAGGCCAUGGAGAGCCUCAUCAGCUCGAGCCAGGAGACCAUCAAGGUCCUACUUGGAGUUAUUCAGGAGCUGGAGAAAGGUGAAGCACAGAGAGAGGGGCUCUCCUACCGAACAGGACAAGACACAGCAAAUUGUGACACUUGUCGAAACAGCGCAUGCAUCAUUUACAGUGUUGAGCUGGACUUCAAGCAGCAGGAGGACAAGCUACAGUCCCUGAUGAAGAGACUUUGCCCCCUGGACAGCCAACAAUGCCCUGCUCUGCCUUACUCCAAUGAAGUGUUCACAUCCACCCCGAAACGCAAGUCCAAGACAGAGUCCAAAAAGCAUGCUCGUUGGAAACUCUGGUUCCUUUGAAUAAAACACGAAGGCUUUGGAAACAGCCUUUUUAUUGGGCACAUUGAUACCCCUGUUAGUCUCAAAAUGAAUGAAGGAGUAUUCAGAGGGAGCAAUCAACAUAUGAGAAUGGAUAACGGCAGAAACCGGUUCAUUUGUGGUUCUGAGUUGAGACUGCACAUUAAGUCAGCUGGGGGACAGCAGAGACAAAAAAAAAUUUAAAUUCUGUCAAACCUUUUUCUGGCAUGUUUGCUGAAGAUGAUCGACACACACCUGCAAAAACUAGAGCAUAUUGCUUGGCAACAAGAGGAGGCGCCAUGUGGAGGGCCUUUUAUGAGUGAAGCUAUAAUCUUUGAAUGGACAUCAGCCCCACCUCCAGCAAAGCACAAACAUUUGACUAUUGGGAGGAAUAUGCGUAAAAAAGACUGAAACACAGUACAGUUCUUAUAACCCUGUCUAUUCUCUCCUCUUCCUCCUUAUCUGUUAACAUCCUGCUCAGUUGGUCUGUUUGACUGAACACCUGCUUGCCUUUGUCAAUAAGCCCUGUCUCCUCCCUCUCUUUGUAACUCUGUCCCUUUGUAUCUCUCCAUUUAGCUCACUGUGCAACCAACCAACUAGCCAGCCAGCUUUGCCUCAGUCAUCCUUUUCCGUUGGCUACACUGACACAUAAUGUUCAGAAUCUAUAUUUUAGAAUAUCUACAUGUUUUUAGAAAAGUACUGUGAAACAACAUUUUAAAAUACUUAUGUUUGGGCCCCUCCUCUUGAAGUAGGUACAAAAAAUGUUGAAAAUGCAGAACUUCUGGGUUAGGUCAGAUUUUUUAACAACAUAUAUAAUGUUUUGACUACUUCUAAGGAAGAAUAUUUUCUAUGAUAACUUAACUUAGUGUUUGUUUUUUGAAUUUCCAACAAAAAGUAAAGGCUAUUUUGACAUUUCUCUUUGAGUCCAUUAAGAGUUUUGCAUUGCCUCUCAGUCACUCAUUGUGUCACAGCAAAGUUCUGAUGUGAAGUCUUGAACCCAGUUUAUUUUUAAGUAAUCUGUUUCAUGUCCAGUUAGCUAACACCUGAAGUGUUGCUCUGUAAUAUUGAUUUGUCUUGCCAUUCAACUGCAAGUUCCAUCUUGUAAAAUGAAACAAUUUUUUUCUGCAGAAGAUACCAAACACCUGUCUACCAACCUACACAAACAACUGUGCACUGAACUUGCAAGAGUAGAAGGGCUAUAUACAGUGCUGAAGGAGUAUGGUAGCAAUCAUACAGCAGAGAAGACUUGUAGCCACCAGCUUUGGUUAAGUACAAAAAACAAACAAAAAACAAACAAAACACUGAUCAUGUAGCAAUGAUACUGAACUUGCACGCCGUUAUAAAGCAGGUAUUUACUGAAUUCUUAAAGUAAUUUUAUAACAGCAGUUCUUAUGUAGAUUAUGGUACUAUUAAAUGUCCAAGAAAUGUCAGGAAGACACAUACUGGCCUCUCAUCGUUAGCGUAUGCAGUAGAUUACAUUAUUCAGGUCACCAAUGUCCAUUCAGGUCACCAAUGUCCAGAUCUGUACCUUGAGAAAGUGCAAUUUAGUGAUUAUGUGCAAUAUUAUGCAUUUUUCUACUGUUUCUACAUCACAAUUAAAACAUUUUCAACUGAA
This is an RNA transcript of Siniperca chuatsi (mandarin fish), 3652 nucleotides long. It is a transcript of the gene named inhibitory synaptic factor 2Ab, with no coding region annotated. Lineage: Eukaryota; Metazoa; Chordata; Actinopteri; Centrarchiformes; Sinipercidae. The record is from RefSeq and is a predicted model, not a curated record. The transcript is spliced from 5 exons.